Molecule: ribosomal RNA, 1397 nt
Filed under: uncultured bacterium
Lineage: Bacteria
Description: bacterial SSU rRNA
Rfam family: Bacterial small subunit ribosomal RNA
Source: RNAcentral
GAAUUCCCCCUUAGAGUUUGAUCCUGGCUCAGGAUGAACGCUGGCGGCGUGCUUAACACAUGCAAGUCGAACGGAGUUAGCGACCAUGAUUUCUUCGGAAUGAUAAUCGCUAACUUAGUGGCGGACGGGUGAGUAACGCGUGAGUAACCUGCCUCAUACAGGGGGAUAACACUUAGAAAUAGGUGCUAAUACCGCAUAAGCGCACAGUUCUGCAUGGAACAGUGUGAAAAACUCCGGUGGUAUGAGAUGGACUCGCGUCUGAUUAGGCAGUUGGCGGGGUAACGGCCCACCAAACCGACGAUCAGUAGCCGACCUGAGAGGGUGACCGGCCACAUUGGGACUGAGACACGGCCCAGACUCCUACGGGAGGCAGCAGUGGGGAAUAUUGCACAAUGGGGGAAACCCUGAUGCAGCAACGCCGCGUGAGUGAAGAAGUAUUUCGGUAUGUAAAGCUCUAUCAGCAGGGAAGAAGAAAGACGGUACCUGACUAAGAAGCACCGGCUAAAUACGUGCCAGCAGCCGCGGUAAUACGUAUGGUGCAAGCGUUAUCCGGAUUUACUGGGUGUAAAGGGAGCGCAGGCGGCCGUGCAAGCCAGAGGUGAAAACCCGGGGCUCAACCCCGCGGAUUGCCUUUGGAACUGUAUGGCUUGAGUACUGGAGGGGCAGGCGGAAUUCCUGGUGUAGCGGUGAAAUGCGUAGAUAUCAGGAGGAACACCGGUGGCGAAGGCGGCCUGCUGGACAGAAACUGACGCUGAGGCUCGAAAGCGUGGGGAGCAAACAGGAUAAGAUCUCUUGGUAGUCCACGCCGUAAACGAUGCCUCCAAAGGGGCGCAUUCACAGGAUGUGCGUGCCGCAGCAAACGCAAUAAGUAUUCCACCUGGGGAGUACGUUCGCAAGAAUGAAACUCAAAGGAAUUGACGCGGACCCGCACAAGCGGUGGAGCAUGUGGUUUAAUUCGAAGCAACGCGAAGAACCUUACCAGGUCUUGACAUCCCGAUGACAGGAAAGUAAUGUUUCCCUUCCUACGGGACAUCGGAGACAGGUGGUGCAUGGUUGUCGUCAGCUCGUGUCGUGAGAUGUUGGGUUAAGUCCCGCAACGAGCGCAACCCUUACUAUUAGUUGCUACGCAAGAGCACUCUAAUAGGACUGCCGUUGACAAAACGGAGGAAGGUGGGGAUGACGUCAAAUCAUCAUGCCCUUUAUGACCUGGGCUACACACGUACUACAAUGGUGUUUAACAAAGAGCGGCGAAGCCGCGAGGCGGAGCAAAUCUCCAAAAAACAUCUCAGUUCAGAUUGCAGGCUGCAACUCGCCUGCAUGAAGUCGGAAUUGCUAGUAAUCGUAGGUCAGCAUACUACGGUGAAUACGUUCCCGGGCCUUGUACUCACCGCCCGUCA